AAUCUAUUUAGGUAGAGCGUCACGUAUCAUCAUCGGGGGUAGAGCACUGGAUGGGCUAGGGGGUCCCAACGACUUACCAAACCUAACCAAACUCCGAAUACCGAGGAGUACUAGAUGGCAGACAGACGGCGGAUGCUAACGUCCGUCGUCGAGAGGGCAACAACCCAGACCGCCAGCUAAGGCCCCCAAAUACCAGUUAAGUGGG
This 205-nucleotide ribosomal RNA is filed under the name Dolichomastix tenuilepis. RNAcentral's name for it is "partial Bacterial large subunit ribosomal RNA". It matches the Rfam family "Bacterial large subunit ribosomal RNA", at positions 863 to 1067 of the family's 2925-position model. The record is from RNAcentral. Lineage: Eukaryota; Viridiplantae; Chlorophyta; Mamiellophyceae; Dolichomastigales; Dolichomastigaceae.